CUCCUACGGGAGGCAGCAGUGGGGAAUAUUGGACAAUGGGCGCAAGCCUGAUCCAGCAAUGCCGCGUGAGUGAUGAAGGCCUUCGGGUUGUAAAGCUCUUUCGCACGCGAGGAUGAUGACGCUAGCGUGAGAAGAAGCCCCGGCUGACUUCGUGCCAGCGGCCGCGGUAAUACGAAGGGGGCGAGCGUUGUUCGGAUUUACUGGGCGUAAAGGGCGCGUAGGCGGCGCCGGAAGUCGAGUGUGAAAGCCCCGGGCUCAACCUGGGAAUGGCGCUCGAGACUCUGGUGCUUGAGUUCGGGAGAGGAGCGUGGAAUUCCCAGUGUAGAGGUGAAAUUCGUAGAUAUUGGGAAGAACACCGGUGGCGAAGGCGGCGCUCUGGACCGAGACUGACGCUGAGGCGCGAAAGCGUGGGGAGCAAACAGGAUUAGAUACCCUGGUAGUCCACGCGGUAAACGAUGUGUGCUAGACGUUGGGGAGCCUAGCUCUUCGGUGUCGCCGCUAACGCUUUAAGCACACCGCCUGGGGAGUACGGCCGCAAGGUUAAAACUCAAAGGAAUUG
Molecule: ribosomal RNA, 559 nt
Filed under: uncultured soil bacterium
Lineage: Bacteria
Description: bacterial SSU rRNA
Rfam family: Bacterial small subunit ribosomal RNA
Source: RNAcentral